RNAcentral lists this ribosomal RNA (223 nucleotides) under uncultured Anoxybacillus sp. Its description in RNAcentral is "partial 16S ribosomal RNA". It matches the Rfam family "Bacterial small subunit ribosomal RNA", at positions 1162 to 1382 of the family's 1533-position model. The record is from RNAcentral. Lineage: Bacteria; Bacillati; Bacillota; Bacilli; Caryophanales; Anoxybacillaceae.
GUCGGAGGAAGGUGGGGAUGACGUCAAAUCAUCAUGCCCCUUAUGACCUGGGCUACACACGUGCUACAAUGGGCGGUACAAAGGGUCGCGAACCCGCGAGGGGGAGCCAAUCCCAAAAAGCCGCUCUCAGUUCGGAUUGCAGGCUGCAACUCGCCUGCAUGAAGCCGGAAUCGCUAGUAAUCGCAGGUCAGCAUACUGCGGUGAAUACCGGUUCCCGGGCCUU